RNAcentral lists this ribosomal RNA (717 nucleotides) under Bacillus sp. (in: firmicutes). RNAcentral describes it as "bacterial SSU rRNA". It matches the Rfam family "Bacterial small subunit ribosomal RNA", at positions 32 to 735 of the family's 1533-position model. Lineage: Bacteria; Bacillati; Bacillota; Bacilli; Caryophanales; Bacillaceae. The record is from RNAcentral.
AAUUCAUGCGGCUGCUAUACAUGCAGUCGAGCGGACCGACGGGAGCUUGCUCCCUUAGGUCAGCGGCGGACGGGUGAGUAACACGUGGGUAACCUGCCUGUAAGACUGGGAUAACUCCGGGAAACCGGGGCUAAUACCGGAUGCUUGAUUGAACCGCAUGGUUCAAUCAUAAAAGGCGGCUUCGGCUGCCGUUUACAGAUGGACCCGCGGCGCAUUAGCUAGUUGGUGAGGUAACGGCUCACCAAGGCGACGAUGCGUAGCCGACCUGAGAGGGUGAUCGGCCACACUGGGACUGAGACACGGCCCAGACUCCUACGGGAGGCAGCAGUAGGGAAUCUUCCGCAAUGGACGAAAGUCUGACGGAGCAACGCCGCGUGAGUGAUGAAGGUUUUCGGAUCGUAAAGCUCUGUUGUUAGGGAAGAACAAGUACCGUUCGAAUAGGGCGGUACCUUGACGGUACCUAACCAGAAAGCCACGGCUAACUACGUGCCAGCAGCCGCGGUAAUACGUAGGUGGCAAGCGUUGUCCGGAAUUAUUGGGCGUAAAGCGCGCGCAGGCGGUUUCUUAAGUCUGAUGUGAAAGCCCCCGGCUCAACCGGGGAGGGUCAUUGGAAACUGGGGAACUUGAGUGCCGAAGAGGAGAGUGCAAUUCCACGUGUAGCGGUGAUCUGCUUAGAGAUGUAGAGGAACGCCAUCGGAUACUGCUACUCUCUCGCCU